AACGAACGCUGGCGGCAUGGCUAAGACAUGCAAGUCGUACGGGACGUAGCAAUACGUUCAGUGGCGAAAGGGAGCGUAAUACAUGGGUAACGUACCUUGGACACAGGGACAACGGCGGGAAACUGCCGCUAAUACCUGAUGAAGUCGCCGGGGGGCAUCCUCUGGCGACCAAAGGGCGGGGACCGCAAGGCCUGCCGGUCUGAGAGCGGCCCAUGUCCUAUCAGCUAGUUGGUGGGGUAACGGCUCACCAAGGCUGCGACGGGUAGCGGGUGUGAGAGCAUGGCCCGCCUCAUCGGGACUGAGACACUGCCCGGACACCUACGGGUGGCUGCAGUAACGAAUAUUGGGCAAUGGGCGAAAGCCUGACCCAGCAAUGCCGCGUGCAGGAGGAAGUCCUUCGGGAUGUAAACUGCUGUCAGGGUCCAGCAAGCGAUACGGGUGAACAAUCCGUAAAGUUGAGCCGACCCAAGGAAGCCUCGG
This 480-nucleotide ribosomal RNA is filed under the name uncultured bacterium. Its description in RNAcentral is "bacterial SSU rRNA". It matches the Rfam family "Bacterial small subunit ribosomal RNA", at positions 29 to 496 of the family's 1533-position model. The record is from RNAcentral.